This is a non-coding RNA of Podarcis lilfordi (Lilford's wall lizard), 69 nucleotides long. The record is from the annotation of a GenBank genome assembly. Lineage: Eukaryota; Metazoa; Chordata; Lepidosauria; Squamata; Lacertidae.
GCUAGCUUAGUUGGUUAGAGCAUGGUGCUGAUAAUGCGAAGGUUGCAGGUUUGGUCCCUUCCAACUGCA